GCUGCACACCUGAAGUCCCUGGCACAGGUAGCUCUGAGUCUCAAGGGAAACGGACACGGUUGAAAGAGCUGAGGCCCAGAGCAGGGCACUCCUCGUGAAGCCCUUCAAACACAGACCUUAGUGAUUUCCUACUCCCUUCUCUGUGCUGGGCUUCAGUUUCCCUGCAGAAUGAUACAGCACCUGCGUGUGGUGUGUGAUACCUGCUUUGCCUUUGCAAGUUUAGGACAGCACCAAAUUAUCAAUUUUAUCAACCCCCUGGAAUCAGUUAGAGCCUUCAUGGUAUGCAAAUACUAUUUCAGCCUGUCAGCAGACUUAGGCAGAGUUAAUUGCAGUGAUGUACCAGAAGCCCAUAAACUCACCCUUCUGAGAACUGUCUGCACUGACUGCUGCCAAAUGUUUUCUUCAGGUCACAAAUUUAUGAAAACUCACAGCUGAAUUCCUUAUGUUGAAUAUUGCAGAAGAUUUAAACAAACUACUUAUCAUGUCUAGAUAUCUCAGGAGAUUAAUGAUUAAUCCAGGAUCUAGCGAGGGUAGUCUCUCUUCCUCCAUCUGAUAUUAUCCACUAUCAAAGUCAGCUUGAAUUUCAUUCCAAAAGGACAGCUGAUCAGAUCACCAGCUUGCAUGGAAGCCCUCACACUGUUGUUAGUUUGUUGCAGAUAAUGUAACUGCAAUUUCUUAUGCAGU
Molecule: long non-coding RNA, 684 nt
Filed under: Cyanistes caeruleus (blue tit)
Lineage: Eukaryota; Metazoa; Chordata; Aves; Passeriformes; Paridae
Description: lncRNA (ENSCCEG00000020361.1)
Source: RNAcentral